AAGUCGAACAGUCGGCUGUGGAUAUAAUAUAAGCGGAGAAGUUAAUGUUGAAUGAAUGAGAUUGAGACAUUGGUGGAGUAAAGAAAGAGUGGCCUUUUUACGGAUAGUAAGAUGGGAAGGCCAAGUGAUAAAUGAUGUUGAGUAGUUAUGACACUCCCAAUUCUCCCAUACCGACUUUAUUUAUCCACAGAAUUAAGUUCGUUUGUCAAAGAUGCAGCGUGACUUCCUGCCAAUUCUGGCCCACCGCUGAUUAUAAAACCAGCGUCUCCAAUCAACUUGGAUUUGAGGAUUUCAUAUGAUGUCUGAAAUGUUACACUUACUUUAAUUUAUUAUAUGCUAUAAUAGUAUUUGUGUGUC
Molecule: non-coding RNA, 357 nt
Organism: Salvia hispanica
Lineage: Eukaryota; Viridiplantae; Streptophyta; Magnoliopsida; Lamiales; Lamiaceae
Source: RefSeq, a predicted model, not a curated record